GAAACUGCGCUGAUUAAGAAAAAUGUUGCUUCUCCCAGGCGCUUCAGGAGAAAAGGUCCACAUGUGUCUUUGUGUGGUCUUGCUCUUCCACAGAUUGACACCAUCUCAAAGCUGCCCUUGGCCCCAGGAUUUCAGCACAAAAUGGAUCUUGCACUCCAUCCCCAUCGCUGAAUGUAGCCUGAGUUAACAACAAACAACAACAGUCAUAAACCAGCAGCAAGGAAACUGCAUGAGCUGACCUGGUUCUGGCUAUCUGCAGGUCCAAAGCUGACACUCCCAGCUCUGCAGUGCUGCUAGUGAACAGGUCCUAUGGCUGACCCCGAGCUUGCAGAAGCUACUUGCACCGUGUAAGCGCAUCUGAUCUGACUAACCUGCCUGCACUUACAGCACACACAUCCUGUUGUUUUCCUCCAGAGUCAACAGGAGGGCAGGUGCUUCCAGAUGGGGCCAUUCUCUCACAACUGGGUAGUUUAGCACUGCUCCUUCUAUAGGCGCAAUUGGCCUGCAAGAGUCCAGACACACACUCCCGUCUUUUCAGUCAUGGAUACUCAUUGCUAUUCUGCUGCUUGCUGUUCAUACCAGUGGGAGGAGGUUGGUAACGUAUCGGGGUUGUUUGGUUGGCUGUUUGCCCCUGUCCUCAGUCAUCCACCCUUGCCUUCUUGGGCUUGCACCCAAGCAUUUCUGCCCUUUGUGCAUGCACCUUUUUAAAAACAAUUCCCAGGAAGAGCACAAGAGUUUAAAACUAAAACAUUACCAACCCAGUUAUCAUGUGUCACAAUGGCUGAAUGGUCAUAUUAAUUCUUUGGACACUGUCUUCUGUUGUAUACCUGCACAGCUCUACUGUAUUUUGA
Molecule: long non-coding RNA, 851 nt
Organism: Rhineura floridana
Lineage: Eukaryota; Metazoa; Chordata; Lepidosauria; Squamata; Rhineuridae
Exons: 4
Source: RefSeq, a predicted model, not a curated record